UUUCAUUUUAUUUUCUUUCAAAGCAAACAACAGAAACCCACUUUCUCUCUCAAUUUACUUUUCUUUCUCUCCCUUUCUCUCAAACCAAACACAGCUAUAAGGGAGGGAAAUUUUCCACCAUUUAUUUUCGCGAAAAAAGAGAAAAAAAAACACCAAAACCCCCCAAAACCCCCGUUCUCUCUCUCUCUCUCUCUCUCAUCAGAAAACCACCACCAUCGGUAAUUUCCCCUUCUUUGAACUUGCUGCUGCAUUGGAGUUUGCCGCCUCCGUCGGAGUUCACCGCCACCAUCUAGCCCUGAAGUUUGCUGCUGUCAUUGACCCUGUAGUUUGCCGCCGAAUCCCAAUAAAAAAACCCUAGUUCUUCCUCUCCAAAUCGGAUCUCGCGGCCUCUCCUCCUCAUUUUCGCCGGACACCUGACUUAGCUUUGGUGGAAUAUUCAUGCUGUAAUUCAGAAAUACUGUUGCUAGCAAUACUUUUGCACGAGGAACACAACCUAUGACUUCUAAUGGGUUGGGCGAACAUUUACAGAAGGUGCCUACAGGUGUUCGCCGUUGCUUUGGUGAUCUACUUGGACUAUAAGGCUUAAACGCUUGCUGAAUCUGAUAUUACAGCUAAAAGGUUUGUGGAUGAAACUUGGCCAGUAUUUGCCUACUCGAGCCGUUGUGCUUCUUGAGAGGCUUAUAUAAACACCCUCAGACAGUUGCAGGAUUCUCUUCCUCCUCGUCCUCUGAAAGAGGUUCGCCGAACCCUAAAGAAGGAGUUUGGAAAAAUCCAUCAGUGAUCUUUUUUGUAAUUUUCUUGAAACACCUCUUGCAACAGCAUCCGUAUGUUUGCAUUAGCAUAUGGUUAUCGAUACGGAAUGAUUUAUACCCAAUUUUGCAUGAUAAACUUUAGUUUCAAGAAAUAUUUCGGUUUUGGUAGUUCUAAACGACGAUAGAUUAAUCAUCAUUCGGCUUGCACAAAUAACAACAAUAUGUUGCACAUUCUAUUUUGGAUUUUUGGCUCUGUAAAACUUGUGGACUUUGUGUCACUAUCUUGUGUUAGUUUAACUAUAUGAGAAAUUUAGUUCCUUAGUUUCUCCUUAUAGGACAUUGACUCUUUUUCACUAGUAGCUUGAAUCUUAUCUAUGUUUUAGA
Molecule: long non-coding RNA, 1136 nt
Organism: Asparagus officinalis (garden asparagus)
Lineage: Eukaryota; Viridiplantae; Streptophyta; Magnoliopsida; Asparagales; Asparagaceae
Exons: 4
Source: RefSeq, a predicted model, not a curated record